AUUGAACGCUGGCGGAAUGCCUUACACAUGCAAGUCGAACGGCAGCACGGACUUCGGUCUGGUGGCGAGUGGCGAACGGGUGAGUAACAUAUCGGAUCGUAUCCAAUAAUGGGGGAUAACGAGUCGAAAGAUUUGCUAAUACCGCAUACGCCCUACGGGGGAAAGCUGGGGACCUUCGGGCCUGGCGUUAAUGGAGCGGCCGAUAUCUGAUUAGCUAGUUGGUGAGGUAAAGGCUCACCAAGGCGACGAUCAGUAGCUGGUCUGAGAGGACGACCAGCCACACUGGAACUGAGACACGGUCCAGACUCCUACGGGAGGCAGCAGUGGGGAAUUUUGGACAAUGGGCGCAAGCCUGAUCCAGCCAUUCCGCGUGAGUGAAGAAGGCCUUCGGGUUGUAAAGCUCUUUCGCAAGGGAAGAAAACUUAGCCACUAACAUUGGUUGAGGUUGACGGUACCUUGAUAAGAAGCACCGGCUAACUACGUGCCAGCCGCCGCCGUAA
Molecule: ribosomal RNA, 500 nt
Filed under: uncultured bacterium
Lineage: Bacteria
Description: partial 16S ribosomal RNA
Rfam family: Bacterial small subunit ribosomal RNA
Source: RNAcentral